RNAcentral lists this transfer RNA (84 nucleotides) under Mesorhizobium sp. LSHC432A00. Its description in RNAcentral is "tRNA-Val". It matches the Rfam family "tRNA". From Rfam's summary of the family: Transfer RNA (tRNA) molecules are approximately 80 nucleotides in length. The record is from RNAcentral. RNAcentral also lists the same sequence under 3 other names. Lineage: Bacteria; Pseudomonadati; Pseudomonadota; Alphaproteobacteria; Hyphomicrobiales; Phyllobacteriaceae.
UGGCGUAUAUUCGGUAAUGAAAACAGAGAACGCACUGCAUUGACAUUGCAGGGGUCACAGGUUCAAUCCCUGUCACGCCCACCA